AGUGAACGCUGGCGGUAGGCCUAACACAUGCAAGUCGAACGGCAGCACAGUAAGAGCUUGCUCUUACGGGUGGCGAGUGGCGGACGGGUGAGGAAUACAUCGGAAUCUACUUUUUCGUGGGGGAUAACGUAGGGAAACUUACACUAAUACCGCAUACGACCUACGGGUGAAAGCAGGGGAUCUUCGGACCUUGCGCGAUUGAAUGAGCCGAUGUCGGAUUAGCUAGUUGGCGGGGUAAAGGCCCACCAAGGCGACGAUCCGUAGCUGGUCUGAGAGGAUGAUCGGCCACACUGGAACUGAGACACGGUCCAGACUCCUACGGGAGGCAGCAGUGGGGAAUAUUGGACAAUGGGCGCAAGCCUGAUCCAGCCAUACCGCGUGGGUGAAGAAGGCCUUCGGGUUGUAAAGCCCUUUUGUUGGGAAAGAAAAGCAGCAGGUUAAUACCCCGCUGUUCUGACGGUACCCAAAGAAUAAGCACCGGCUAACUUCGUG
Molecule: ribosomal RNA, 492 nt
Filed under: uncultured bacterium
Lineage: Bacteria
Description: partial 16S ribosomal RNA
Rfam family: Bacterial small subunit ribosomal RNA
Source: RNAcentral